RNAcentral lists this long non-coding RNA (1603 nucleotides) under Pan troglodytes (chimpanzee). RNAcentral describes it as "long non-coding RNA NONPTRT004231". Lineage: Eukaryota; Metazoa; Chordata; Mammalia; Primates; Hominidae. The record is from RNAcentral.
GACAGGCUCCGCAGAGCUGCCGGCGGACACCGGACAGAGACAAUGCGGCGGAUCCUUUCUCUCCCGAAGAGUGGCGUGGAUGACAGAGACGAGAAGAACAGGCUGUCCAACGAACAGAGUUCUGGUGACUCAUGGCUUUCAAUAGAUGAUGAACUCUUUGAUUCUGGUACCAAGACUACCUUUGAGAAUGUUCCACAGAAAUAUGAUAGUCGCUUAACUGGAGCUGAUGGUCAAAGAGGAAAAAUUACAAUAAAGAACAAGAAGCCACAGGGGAAGGAGAAAGAGAUGAAGAAAUAGAAAUCAUCGCUGGAAGAUCCCACUGCUAAAUGAAGAGAAGAGAAGUCAUGGGAAUAGUCCAUCAAAAGAAGGCAGAAGGGUCAGAACCAGGACAACAGAUCUAGAGAUUACUUUGCAAAGGAAGAGGGAUUGUGAGUGGAGGAGGAGGGAGGAAAGAAAGAAGUUGGCUACUUAAUUUUGGAGUUGAUAAUAGGGAAACUUGAGAGCUGUCACUUCUGGUGACUGCAGUAUAGUGGCACUCAAACAGAAGAUUAGGUGAUUGCUGUUCCAGGAAUUACUGGAAGGAGGGAGUGCUAGAAUGGGGGUAAACCACAGGAACUAAUUUCUUCUCUCUGUAACUGUCAGACAUCAAAGAUGCAUGUUUUAUUGAUAUUGUGUCCGGAAUUGGUGGGUUCUUGGUCUCACUGACUUCAAGAAUGAAGCUGCGGACCCUCGCGGUGAGUGCUACAGCUCUUAAGGUGGCGCAUCUGGAGUUUGUUCCUUCUGAUGUUCGGAUGUGUUCGGCGUUUCUUCCUUCUGGUGGGUUCGUGGUUUCGCUGGCUCAGGAGUGAAGCUGCAGACCUUCGCGGUGAGUGUUACAGCUCUUAAAGCAGCACGUCUGGAGUUGUUCGUUACUCCCGGUGGGCUCGUGGUCUCGCUGGUUUCAGGAGUGAAGCUGCAGAUCUUCGCGGUGAGUGUUACAGCUCAUAAAAGCAACGUGGACCCAAAGAGUGAGCAGUAGCAAGAUUUAUUGCAAAGAGUGAAAGAACAAAGCUUCCAGUGUGGAAGCUGACCUGAGCAGGUUGCCACUGUUGGCUGGGGCAGCCUUUUAUUCUCUUAUCUGGCCCCACCCACACCCUGCUGAUUGGUAGAGCCGAGUGGCCUGUUUUGACAGGGCGCUGAUUGGUGCCUUUACAAUCCCUGAGCUAGAUACAAAGGUUCUCCACCUCCCCAUCAGAUUAGUUAGAUGCAGAGUUUCAACACACAGGUUCUCCAAGGCCCCACCAGAGCAGCUAGAUACAGAGUGCCGAUUGGUGUAUUCACAAACCUUGAGCUAAACACAGGGUGCUGAUUGGUGUGUUUAGAAACCUUGAGCUAGAUACAGAGUGCUGACUGGUGUAUUUACAGUCCCUGAGCUAGACAUAAAGGUUCUCCAAGGCCCCACCAGAGCAGCUAGAUACAGAGUGUCGAUUGGUGCACUCACAAACCCUGAGCUAGACACAGGGUGCUGAUUGGUGUGUUUACAAUCCCUGAGCUAGACAUGAAGACUCUCCACGUCCCCACCAGACUCAGGAGCCCAGCUGGCUUCAACCAGUGGAUACCGCAC